GGUUGAAGUACUACGCAGGUGUGUCCUCCUCGUGUAGUACUUCAAACAUCGACUUCAAGCCCCCCCCCGCCAGAGGCAAACAACGGGACCCGACUGCAGCUCUGCCUCCCCCACCGGUGCCAAUGCUAUGCCUAUUAGCCCCGAGCUAAUUACCCGGCGGCGCUCCCGGUGGGAUUGGCUAAGCUAAUUAGCAUGCACCUGAUUAGACGGGUGGAGGUAAAAUAAGACAAAGCGGAGCGGGAGACAAAAAGAUCUGUUGGUACGAGAGCUACUCGGGGGAGGAAACCCGGUGCGACGUGUUUGGGAAUCAUCACGCGCCAUAAAAAAAAAGAGAAACAGGCUUUCGGUGGUUUGGUUAACGACCCGGUGGGAUAAAGCACCAAAUUGGGGGCAGCAGGGGAUGAAGCAGGUUUUUAUCGUUAAUUAUCCACAGCAGAACCUCUGUGGAGCACUAAGCUGGGUUUGCUGCUGGCCACUGCAGGAGAUCAUAAGCAUGAAUAGCUUCACAAGCUACAAGGCCGGGGGGGGCGCAGCGCAUCGUGUACGUACGAUGGAGAUGGUGGAGAGGUCAACUCUGGGGAAGGUCCUGUAAAGCAGGUCCCGCGUGUAGCUUUCACGCGACAUAGCAGCUCACCUUCCGUCUCGCGUGUCCUUGAGAGCCGGAGCGGGGGAGGGAGGCGCAAGGGGGGGUUGUGCGAGACGUCUCCGCGUGUCUCAGCCUCCACAUUGCAGGCGCUGUGUGGCACUCACAGAAACACACACAGCAUGCACAAUGAGGAGGCCCCGAGCACGCACGUUUUCACCAGCAACGCUACCGGUGCAGGGGGGAGGGGUGGUGGAAUAAACAGAGGGAAGGGGAUGCUGACGUGAUGCCAUCUUGAUGCUAACGUGAUGCUAACGUGAUGCCAACGUGAUGCCAACGGGAUGCUAACGUGAGGCCAACUUGAUGCUAACGUGAUGCCAACGUGAUGGCAACGUGAUGCUAACGUGAUGCCAACGUAUGAUGUCGGGGUUCAUGGUCAGCGUCUUGACCCGUUGUGCACAUCAGUCGUCGCCCCCUGCUGGCCAUUAGAAAGAGGGAAGGUUUAAAGGUAUGAAAAAACUAAAUGGUCUUCUCACCGAUUCAUCGCCGCUCCCAAUGAUGAAUGGUGGUCGGGUUCUGAGAGGAACCGUUUUAAGCUCCACCGUGGCGUAUUUCCCCUGUGACUCAGUCUUCUGGAUUCUUCUCCACUCUCUGAACUUCAAAUUAGUGCGUGCCGACUAAUCAGCGCUCCGUCCACCGGCUUCAACUUUCACAAUUUAAAAUUAGCCGACGAGCGAAAAAGCGGCUCUACUUAUUUUUUUAAUAAGGCCGGUGACAACCGCUUCCUCGUAGGGCUUUUAAUGAGCCGCCCGCCCCAGGGGGGUGAGCCUCUGCUCCUUUGGGUGUCACUUAAUCAAAGGACCACUGAGCACGCUGCUGGGAGGACCUGCGCUGCCUCUCGGCCAUCCGCUGCCCCGGCCUCACCGUUACCGUGACAGCCGCCUCGUUAAAAAACCAGCUCCACCUGCAGCGGACGGCGAAGCGGGUGCAGCCGGACGGAGGAACACCCGCCGUGCAGGAAGCAUCGCUGCGGCGGGGAGACCAACCAAGCAGGGCGAGACACACAAAUGGUGUUAAUAUGUGUCUUCCAAGCUCUCAUUCACAAACUGUCUAUCUGCCCCCCCCCCCCCAGAUGACUCAUCCUGAGCCCCCCCGCGGCGCUCUGCUCCGCACACAGAUGGCGUGUCUGCGUUUGUAACCUCGUUGAAGUUCUUUUGUUUCUCCAUCUCACAAUGUUGCCUUCAUAUAAAGAUUAAAAAUAGAUUCCAGAUACAGUAAAUUUCCAUAACAACCGAACCACGAGUGCAAAGAGCGCAUCGUGUUGAACUCUUCAGCAGCUUGAUGUUGUUUUCGCACAUCGCCCUGUUGUGCUCGCGUUCGUGGUCCCCAGAGGACGACUCCCGCUGACUUUGGCGGAUCGACCUCUGUCCGUGUCCCGCGUUGAUAUGUAUAUAAAGUUUGUACCCGGGAGAGUGGGUUGUUCUGGUGCUUUCCGGUCUCUGUUUCUCACCGUUAUAGCUGGCGCCUCGCUAACCUCUAGCGGAGGUGGAUGAUGAAUCCGGCAGGGGCUCGGCGAGCUCAGCUGUGGGUGUUACUGCCGCUGCGAGACCUUAAUUAUGCCGCAGCAUGAAGAUGCAACGGCGUCCCGCUGUCUGCCGACCCGUUUGUGCCAACGCGUCCUAAAAGUAUACUUUUAGUUUAUUAACAUGAAACCAAAGGAGGUGCUCUUCAUUUUCAUAUUCCACCUGCUUGAAUUGACCUCAUCUUUUCCUAAUCCAACUCCGAGUUUAGAAACAUCACAUCUAUGAACUGUGCACACGUUUAGUUCAGUGUGACCCCGGACCUGCGGGGUCAGAAGGCUAAUAGCAACGCGCUAGUGAGUCGUCCUCGCGUGGCGCCCCGCAGCGGUUUCAUUAAAAACCGGCGUCACUAGACAAGUUUCCUCGUUUCACGUUGCUCUCAAAAACGUCAAUGAGUGUAAAAUGCUCCUUCGUGACGCACGAGGGCGACGGUCAGCGGGUCGGAUGAUGUUCGGUUGGUUGCUUCACGGACAAACGAGACGAGAGGCUUAGCUUGGCGCCCUUGGAGCCAUGAAACAGUCACACGCUACAUUCAGGAGACACAUUGUGCGGCUUCGUGGCUUCGACGCGCCACGAACGGAUGAGUUUGCCGGAGUAGAAUUCGUGCUUAGUGGCGGACGGACGCGGAGGAGCACGCUCACUCACAGGCGGACGCCAUAAUUGGCACAGAUGCUAACACGCGUUUAACUUGCAAGCUUUCAUGUGCGGAGGAGCUCCGUCCUCGACGUGGAGGAAGGAACCGAACGCAAACACCGACCGGCCCUGAAGUCGGACGUGUGAAAUGAUCUGUGACCCGAGAUCAGCGGAGCUGGAAGCGGCCGUCGGCCCGUCGACACCUCGGCAUCCAAACCAGCCCGUUUGAGGCAACUGGAGCUCGAGAGGCUGCUUCUCCGACUGGUAAGAGCGGCGUGUAGGUGUGCGUUUUCGUUUGUGUUAGUGGGUGGAGGCAGCGAGAUGGAGAAGCGAUGACCUGUGUGUGUGUGUGUGUGUGUGUGUGUGUGUGUGUGUGUGUGUGUGGUAGCAUGAAGAACUCUUUCGGGGCUUUCACGGUGAGAGAUGAAACACUUGAAUUGACUUUAAUGCGUCCGUGCUGCCGUGUGUUGUGUGGAUCCGUUACCCGUGAAGAAUAUCAAACACGUGUCGCACACCGACGGGACGAGCUUUGUUUGUUCCACCUUCGAGCGCAGAUGCAGCUCUGCAGUUUCACUUCAAGAUGGUUUAAAAAUGACGGGAGCCUUUCAGUCCAAGAACCUUUCACUGCAAACUAAGUCACAAACACUUUCCACACCAGAGCAGCCGGUUGUUUUGAAUUUGUGUUCCACGUGACACUAAUUAGACUCAUUACCAUAAGACUAAUACACAUAAAUAUAAGACCAUUUAAAGGGCACUCCAGCCAUUAACAAUUAGACAUUAGACAGAUGAGGGGCCAAGAUGCUGCUGAUUGUGAGACAUCCAGAAAUCCAUUUCCCCCCUCCAGAAAAUACUGGAUUCUAAAUUUCCCAUGAUGCAAAAAUAGAACACUUGCUUCCUCUUCAACAGCACUUACUUGCAAGCGGAAAAAGGGAGCAACCGCUAGUUUUGAAACUUGAUGCCAAUGCAGAAGUGUCCUACAGCUGCAUUCUGUGUAGUGACCAGCAGGGGGCGACUCCUCUGCUCCCAUAGACGUCUAUGAGGAAAUGACUCCACUUCUCUCUAGUGACCAGCAGGGGGCGGCUCCUCUGCUCCCAUAGACGUCGAUGAGGAAAUGACUCUACUUCUCUGUAGUGACCAGCAGGGGGCGACUCCUCUGCUCCCAUAGACGUCUAUGAGGAAAUGACUCUACUUCUCUGUAGUGACCAGCAGGGGGCGACUCCUCUGCUC
Molecule: long non-coding RNA, 4023 nt
Organism: Gasterosteus aculeatus aculeatus (three-spined stickleback)
Lineage: Eukaryota; Metazoa; Chordata; Actinopteri; Perciformes; Gasterosteidae
Source: Ensembl